RNAcentral lists this ribosomal RNA (442 nucleotides) under uncultured bacterium. Its description in RNAcentral is "partial 16S ribosomal RNA". It matches the Rfam family "Bacterial small subunit ribosomal RNA", at positions 338 to 795 of the family's 1533-position model. The record is from RNAcentral.
CCUACGGGAGGCAGCAGUGGGGAAUAUUGGGCAAUGGAGGAAACUCUGACCCAGCAACGCCGCGUGAAUGAUGAAGGUCCUCGGUUUGUAACGUUUUUUUCUACGGGAAGAAGAAAGUGACGGUACCUUCGGAAUAAGCCUCGCCAAACUACGUGCCAGCAGCCGCGGUAAUACGUAGGAGGCAAGCAUUCUCCGGAAUGACUGGGCGUAAGGGGUGCGCAGGCGGAAGGUCAAGUCAGCGGUAAAAUUGAGGGGGUAAAACUCGCCGAGCCGUUGAAACUGGUUAUCUUGAGUGGGUGAGAAGUAUGCGGAAUGCGUGGUGUAGCGGUGAAAUGCAUAGAUAUCACGCAGAACCCCGAUUGCGAAGGCAGCAUACCGGCGCUCAACUGACGCUCAUGCACGAAAGUGUGGGUAUCGAACAGGAUUAGAUACCCUUGUAGUC